GUGCCUAGUGGUUAGAGUGUCCGCCUCGGAUGCAGGAGGUCGUGGGUUCGAACCCCGGCCGACU
Non-coding RNA from Potamilus streckersoni, 64 nucleotides. The record is from the annotation of a GenBank genome assembly. NCBI's taxonomy places the organism in Eukaryota, Metazoa, Mollusca, Bivalvia, Unionida, Unionidae.